UGAACAGUUUCCAUGAAGCCCACAGUGGUCCUGCAGCCCAGCUGGACUCUGAUAUACAGAGGUGAGACAAUCACUGCCAGAUGUGAGAUCCAGGAAGGUGGAGGAACUCAGUGGACGUAUGAAUGGAGACCAACCAGGUUAAAUAGACCUCCAUCAUCCAGAGAACACAGGAUCAGCAGAGUUACUGACAGUGGAGACUACAGCUGCCGGGGAAGAAGAGACGUGUUUUAUUUAACACAGUGGAGUGAUGUCGUCUCAGUAACUGUAUCAGAAGAUGAAGCCAAAGCCACUCUGACACCAGACAGUUCAAUCCUACCAGCAGGGGGCAGUGUGACUCUGACCUGUUCUCUGAAGAUUCCUGUAGGAUUCACUUAUAAUCUGUACAGAAAUAAUCACAUCAAACAAUCUGAUGAACCAGGAGGAGUUUUCAAGAUCUCAGAGGGAGGCAAAUACACCUGCAGAGGAUUUAGAAGAGACACAAACUUUAUUACAUCUUUCAGUAACACAGUCUUUAUUCAGCAAACUGCAGAUAAACCCCGGCCUGUCCUCUCUGUGUCUCCAUCAUGGCUGAGUCCUGGAUCCUCAGUAACUCUGAGAUGUGAGAUUAAACCUCCGUCUGCAGGAUGGAGGUUCUACUGGUAUAAAGCUGUUCCUGAUCUGUCACACCAGUAUAUCUCUUACAGCUAUGAGAUGCUGCCUGGUAGCCCCAACGGGACUGCUGGUAGUUCCACCAUUGUUCAUGGACAAACACACACAGCAGGAUGUGUGUGUAGAGCUGAAAGAGUGGACCGUGUUUAUUCCACUGAUCACAGUAAACCCACAUUUGUCUGGUCUGAAGAUGUUCAUCCAGCAGCGUCUCUCACAGUGAAUCCUGACAGAGUUCAACACUUCACAUCUGACUCUGUUUCACUGAACUGUGGAGGAAACUCUGCUGAGUGGAGAGUGAUGAGGUUUACAGAAACACAUCAUCUGUCACGCUGCUCCUCCUGGGGGAGAAUGACUGGAUCCUCAUGUAACAUGAACAUGAACUGGUACCACAGUGGAGUUUACUGGUGUGAGUCUGGAUCAGGAGAGUUCAGCAACACAGUCAACAUCACUGUACAGAAUGAUGAUGAUGGCGUCAUCCUGGUGAGCCCCGUCCAUCCUGUGACUGAGGGAGCUUCUGUCAGUCUGAGCUGCAGACUGAGAGAACAAAACACACUUUCCAGUGUUUCUUUCUAUCACAAUGACAAACUUCUCCAACAUGAUGGCAGAGAGGAGCUGAACAUCUCUGCAGUGUCACAGUCAGACGAAGGUUUCUACAAGUGUCAACAUGCAGGAAAGACGUCACAACAGAGCUGGAUGUCAGUUACAGCUGUGUCCAGACCUGAAAGCUCUUCAUUUCCUGUGCUGUUGAUGGUUGGAUCAGUCAUUGGAAUCAUAUUAUUGAUUUUCCUGCUCUUGUUGUGUCUCUGCAAACUGUCCAAGGAUUUAUGCUGCAUCAGGUGGAUCCAGUCACAGAGCAGCAGUCAGAGCUCCAGUUCACAUCCUGGAGUCAACCAGAAUGAAACUAACCAGUACAGCUCUCCUCUCCACGUAGAUGAUGUUUGUCUCUAUGAGUCGAUCAAACCCACUGAAAGGAAAUAAAAUGUAAAAAUGAUGUGAUUUCAGAAAACUUGUAACAAGUGACUGAUGUGGAAUUAUGAAAUGUUUCAGAUGCAGAUGAAUCCAGAGAUGUCACAUACUCUCUUAUUGAACUGAAACAUUUUGGGAAAAAGAGGAGGCAUCAUGAACCAGAGGAGAGUUGUGUUUACUCUGAAGUGAAGACAGGAACUGCAG
Melanotaenia boesemani (Boeseman's rainbowfish) is the source of this 1818-nucleotide RNA transcript. RefSeq lists it as uncharacterized. Lineage: Eukaryota; Metazoa; Chordata; Actinopteri; Atheriniformes; Melanotaeniidae. The record is from RefSeq and is a predicted model, not a curated record. The transcript has 10 exons.